Molecule: long non-coding RNA, 295 nt
Organism: Photinus pyralis (common eastern firefly)
Lineage: Eukaryota; Metazoa; Arthropoda; Insecta; Coleoptera; Lampyridae
Exons: 2
Source: RefSeq, a predicted model, not a curated record
CGGGAAAACGACUUUCCCGCAUCGCGGUGUUUUUUAGUUUCCGCUGGAGAUAAGGGGUUAUGCGCAUUCUUCAGUUGGUAGUACUUAUUGAAGUCAACGAACGUCAUGUCAUAACUGUCAUCUGCUGUAAAAUCAAUUAAACCGUUGGUUGAGGGUAUUUAGUGCGAUUAAUCGGAAACAGACGUACACUAAGUUUUACAAUUGGAACUCAAGAAAAAGUAAAAUUUAUUGUUAAAACGUCUUAAAAUGUGACCAGUGAUAUUCCGCAACUAUUGGCAUAUGCAGGUUAAGAAAG